RNAcentral lists this unclassified non-coding RNA (237 nucleotides) under uncultured fungus. RNAcentral's name for it is "sequence contains ITS1, 5.8S rRNA gene". The stretch from base 189 to 237 matches the Rfam family "5.8S ribosomal RNA", at positions 1 to 49 of the family's 154-position model. The record is from RNAcentral. Lineage: Eukaryota; Fungi.
UCUCCGUUGGUGAACCAGCGGAGGGAUCAUUACAGAGUUAUCUAACUCCCAAACCAUUGUGAACUUACCAUUUGUUGCCUCGGCAGAACUUACCCUGAACCUACCCUGGAACGGUGUAAUGGGCUGCCGGUGGACUACUAAACUCUGUUAUACUAUUGUAAUCUGAGCGUCUUAUUUUAAUAAGUCAAAACUUUCAACAACGGAUCUCUUGGUUCUGGCAUCGAUGAAGAACGCAGC